RNAcentral lists this ribosomal RNA (497 nucleotides) under uncultured bacterium. Its description in RNAcentral is "partial 16S ribosomal RNA". It matches the Rfam family "Bacterial small subunit ribosomal RNA", at positions 28 to 507 of the family's 1533-position model. The record is from RNAcentral.
GAUGAACGCUGGCGGCGUGCCUAAUACAUGCAAGUCGAGCGAACGGACGAGAAUCUUGCUUCUCUGAUGUUAGCGGCGGACGGGUGAGUAACACGUGGAUAACCUACCUAUAAGACUGGGAUAACUUCGGGAAACCGUAGCUAAUACCGGAUAAUAUUUUGAACCGCAUGGUUCAAAAGUGAAAGACGGUCUUGCUGUCACUUAUAGAUGGAUCCGCGCUGCAUUAGCUAGUUGGUAAGGUAACGGCUUACCAAGGCAACGAUGCAUAGCCGACCUGAGAGGGUGAUAGGCCACACUGGAACUGAGACACGGUCCAGACUCCUACGGGAGGCAGCAGUAGGGAAUCUUCCGCAAUGGGCGAAAGCCUGACGGAGCAACGCCGCGUGAGUGAUGAAGGUCUUCGGAUCGUAAAACUCUGUUAUUAGGGAAGAACAGAUGUGUAAGUAACUGUGCACAUCUUGACGGUACCUAAUCAGAAAGCCACGGCUAACUACGUG